RNAcentral lists this ribosomal RNA (303 nucleotides) under uncultured bacterium. Its description in RNAcentral is "partial 16S ribosomal RNA". It matches the Rfam family "Bacterial small subunit ribosomal RNA", at positions 507 to 808 of the family's 1533-position model. The record is from RNAcentral.
AGCAGCAGCCACGGUAAUACGUAGGUCCCGAGCGUUGUCCGGAUUUAUUGGGCGUAAAGCGAGCGCAGGCGGUUAGAUAAGUCUGAAGUUAAAGGCUGUGGCUUAACCAUAGUACGCUUUGGAAACUGUUUAACUUGAGUGCAGAAGGAGAGAGUGGAAUUCCAUGUGUAGCGGUGAAAUGCGUAGAUAUAUGGAGGAACACCGGUGGCGAAAGCGGCUCUCUGGUCUGUAACUGACGCUGAGGCUCGAAAGCGUGGGGAGCAAACAGGAUUAGAUACCCCAGUAGUCCCUGUCUCUUAUACA